UAGAAGUUAGUUAAAUUUAUAACUUAUAUUUGUCAUAUUUAAAUUACCAUAAGGUACUUCUAU
RNAcentral lists this transfer RNA (63 nucleotides) under Potamiscus montosus. Its description in RNAcentral is "tRNA-Asp". Lineage: Eukaryota; Metazoa; Arthropoda; Malacostraca; Decapoda; Potamidae. The record is from RNAcentral.